Molecule: ribosomal RNA, 433 nt
Filed under: uncultured bacterium
Lineage: Bacteria
Description: partial 16S ribosomal RNA
Rfam family: Bacterial small subunit ribosomal RNA
Source: RNAcentral
AGCGAACGCUGGCGGCAGGCCUAACACAUGCAAGUCGAACGAACUCUUCGGAGUUAGUGGCGGACGGGUGAGUAACACGUGGGAACGUGCCUUUAGGUUCGGAAUAACUCAGGGAAACUUGUGCUAAUACCGAAUGUGCCCUUCGGGGGAAAGAUUUAUCGCCUUUAGAGCGGCCCGCGUCUGAUUAGCUAGUUGGUGAGGUAAAGGCUCACCAAGGCGACGAUCAGUAACUGGUCUGAGAGGAUGAUCAGCCACAUUGGGACUGAGACACGGCCCAAACUCCUACGGGAGGCAGCAGUGGGGAAUCUUGCGCAAUGGGCGAAAGCCUGACGCAGCCAUGCCGCGUGAAUGAUGAAGGUCUUAGGAUUGUAAAAUUCUUUCACCGGGGACGAUAAUGACGGUACCCGGAGAAGAAGCCCCGGCUAACUUCGUG